GCAGGAAGCUUCCAACCACCAGUGACCUUGAAGAACUUCUCCUGGCAGCUGAUACUCCUGAGGAUAGCACUGAAGUGGAUAAUGACAUGAGUUGGGACAGUGACCUCUCAUCGAUUUUGCUGCUGCUACACCUGAUUCCCCCCUCUGCCUUGGGUCGUAAGAGACCAGGGAAGGUAUCUGCCUCCCAAGCAGAGAAGCGUCUUGUGGUCUUCAAGAAGAUAGGAACCAACAUCCAAGAACAUCUUGAUGCCAUCACGACGAGCACACAACCCUAUCUCCUUGCUGUGGACGGAGGAAGAAAGUAGCCCACCAGUUCUUCAUCAUCCUUGACAAGAAUGCCAUUGCUUGCAGGUCAACAUCCUCUCUUGGUGCUUUUGAUGAACUGUUUAAGGCACAUUACGUGUUUGCCACAACAUACAACCCCAUACUAUGCAACAUGUUCACAUUCAUCCAGACCACUGUGUACAAUAUAGACGUAGGUAAAGUGAAAGAAAGUCCUCGUGUGGCAGAAAUUCGGGCUAGGUUGCUUCAGUAGUACUUGAACAAAUCUGUUUGGCAUUAUGUGUUUUAUUUGUUGGGCAGAGUUAAGUUGCACAAAUGCACUUGUUUGGUAUCUACAAAUAGUUCGUUCAUGGUUACUUGGAUGGAAAAACUCUUUGCCUUAAAUGUACUCUGUCAACUUCGAGCCGUCAAUGGGAUGUACACCAUGUGAUGUUACUGUGACAAAAGUUA
Molecule: long non-coding RNA, 732 nt
Organism: Poeciliopsis prolifica (blackstripe livebearer)
Lineage: Eukaryota; Metazoa; Chordata; Actinopteri; Cyprinodontiformes; Poeciliidae
Exons: 3
Source: RefSeq, a predicted model, not a curated record